Molecule: ribosomal RNA, 224 nt
Filed under: Enterobacter hormaechei subsp. hoffmannii
Lineage: Bacteria; Pseudomonadati; Pseudomonadota; Gammaproteobacteria; Enterobacterales; Enterobacteriaceae
Description: Enterobacter cloacae complex 'Hoffmann cluster III' partial 16S ribosomal RNA
Rfam family: Bacterial small subunit ribosomal RNA
Source: RNAcentral
ACUUAAAUUGAAGAGUUUGAUCAUGGCUCAGAUUGAACGCUGGCGGCAGGCCUAACACAUGCAAGUCGAACGGUAACAGGAAGCAGCUUGCUGCUUCGCUGACGAGUGGCGGACGGGUGAGUAAUGUCUGGGAAACUGCCUGAUGGAGGGGGAUAACUACUGGAAACGGUAGCUAAUACCGCAUAACGUCGCAAGACCAAAGAGGGGGACCUUCGGGCCUCUUG